Molecule: ribosomal RNA, 253 nt
Filed under: uncultured bacterium
Lineage: Bacteria
Description: partial 16S ribosomal RNA
Rfam family: Bacterial small subunit ribosomal RNA
Source: RNAcentral
UACAGAGGUCCCAAGCGUUGUUCGGAUUCACUGGGCGUAAAGGGUGCGUAGGCGGUCGGGUAAGUCUGAUGUGAAAUCUCACAGCUUAACUGUGAAACUGCAUUGGAUACUAUCCGGCUCGAGGAAUGGAGGGGAGACUGGAAUACUUGGUGUAGCAGUGAAAUGCGUAGAUAUCAAGUGGAACACCAGUGGCGAAGGCGAGUCUCUGGACAUUUCCUGACGCUGAGGCACGAAAGCCAGGGGAGCGAACGGG